RNAcentral lists this ribosomal RNA (222 nucleotides) under Clostridioides difficile. Its description in RNAcentral is "partial 16S ribosomal RNA". It matches the Rfam family "Bacterial small subunit ribosomal RNA", at positions 1321 to 1533 of the family's 1533-position model. The record is from RNAcentral. Lineage: Bacteria; Bacillati; Bacillota; Clostridia; Peptostreptococcales; Peptostreptococcaceae.
UGAAGCUGGAGUUACUAGUAAUCGCAGAUCAGAAUGCUGCGGUGAAUGCGUUCCCGGGUCUUGUACACACCGCCCGUCACACCACGGGAGUUGGAGACGCCCGAAGCCGAUUAUCUAACCUUUUGGACGAAGUCGUCGAAGGUGGAAUCAAUAACUGGGGUGAAGUCGUAACAAGGUAGCCGUAUCGGAAGGUGCGGCUGGAUCACCUCCUUUCUAAGGAGA